RNAcentral lists this long non-coding RNA (26531 nucleotides) under Citrus maxima (pomelo). Its description in RNAcentral is "long non-coding RNA (CMAX_LNC003419)". The record is from RNAcentral. Lineage: Eukaryota; Viridiplantae; Streptophyta; Magnoliopsida; Sapindales; Rutaceae.
UUCAUGUCAUGGCUAAAUACUUUUUCAUGCUUGUUGCAGACCUCUGUGGUUAGUGUAGUGAAACCUUGCUGGAUCUUGAGCCCAUUAAUGGGAUGUGGCACUUGAGCUAGAAUGGAAAACCUCGUGGGCAGAUUGAUGUAAUUAUUAUUGGUGAUACAGUGCUGCUACCUUUGCUCCCUCUCUCAUCAAAAAAUUGUCUUAAAAUUUUGCACUAAGAAAAUCUGUGUUUUUUAUAUUGCCGUGGCAAAAUGUUAAAUGGGCUUCACUUUUUUUUUUGGGGUGGGGGGUGGGGAUAAAAAAGAAAACAAAAGAAAAUUUUCAAAUUUUACAUUCCAUCAUUACCUCGGACUCAGGAGUGGGGAAAGGUUAAAGUUUUGUACAGUAAUAUAGAGAAACCCUCUGCCAAUCCAAACCUCUGUGAAAGGGAUCCCAUUUCAUGACAAUCUUUGUGGGUUUUGAGUUGGAAUACUCUGUCAGGUUAGAAGUUGUUUCAAUUAAUUAUCUAUAACAUAUAAGUUGUGUUAAAUUGUAUGACUAUAUAGUGAUUCAUUGUAGGAUACUAGGACAUCAAAGAGCUCAAAAUUUCUGACAGAUUUUCUUCCUAAAUUUGGUUAAAAAGUGAUGGAUAGAUUAGAACUAAGUUGCUCAGCAAUUUGGAGCUGUAAACAUCUAGAAGGCUGGAACUAAAUGCCAUUUGAUUAGGUUAGAAUAAUAUGAGCCGAGCUUACAAUCUUUGUCAUUCAUUCAAUUGCUUUUUCAGAUGACCACAAUUCAUCAUGUUGAUAUUAUCCGAUUGGUGCCUUGUAAAUUUCCUUUAUGACUAUGAUAUAGGGCAUUAUUGAAGAGUUGAAAACAUCCAAAGAAAAUUAGCGAGAAUAGGUUCUGGAUUAAAAAGACAACUUUAUGCAUGUUUCCUUUCUGCUUCAUCAAUUGAUUAUAGACCAUUAAUUACCUAUGCCCUUUUUUGUUUCGGCUUUGCUUUACAGUAAUAGUGCCUAGAUGUAAUGAUAGGAAAAUGUGCAAAUCGGUUGUCUAUUCAUCUGGUGUACCUCUAAUAGCUAGAAAAAUGAAGGUAUAUAUCCUUUGAAAUAUUCAGUUUGUUUAGUGUCUAAACUAUGUUUUGUUCAGUCAACCAUUCCUAAAUUGUUUCGAAGCUUCAUGCUGCAUUUAUCCAGUUUGUAGAGCCUGGAACUAAGUUCUAUAUGGACAGUUCUUGCAGCAUCUGAGGAUCCCCUUCUGCUAGUAGUGCAGCAUCAUUAAAGGCACCUUUGUUAAUGGUGUUGAUUCUGUCUCAUGGACGGCAAAUAACUCAGUGAAGCUUUUUAGUUCCCAGAGUGAUGGUACUCAUUGUUGGACCUUUUUCAGCGCUGCAGCUUAUGGAAAAUGAAACAAGGUUCCACAGAUCUGUUGGUACAUAAAUGUGUGUCUUGUUUAAAAUACUUGUUUUCACAUGAUUAUAUGCUAGCAUUGACACACUUUUUUAUCAAUUGCCUAGACCUGUUGAAUCCAUUCAUACUUCAGCUUGAAAUCCGAGCUAUUGAAACAAGGCUCCAAUGAGUUCAGUUUUGGACUAUCCUUAUAGUUGUCCUAUUUCCUUUAUGGUUAUAAGUGCUGCGUUUGGCAUAUGAAUCUAAUUGAAUGAAAGUGAAUCAGGGGUUGGUCUUAAAAGCGCAUAUUGUUCAAAUACAAAAAGUAAUAUUAUUUGAGACAAUUCAUACGGCUUCCUUUGAGUGAAAAAUAGUCAUAUUACCAUUUAAACUGGCAUGAUAUGUUCUUCCAGUUUAUUCGAAGAAUUAUGAGAAGAACCUCAGGUGUGUUAACUAAAAAAUGCCCAAAAUGGACUGUUCAUAUUCAUGCCACUGAAUCCCAGGUAUGUUAAUUUUAAACUCCAAUUAAAUGCUCUAAUCUUUCUUCACUCAUUUUAGCAUGUAUUCCAUAAUUCAUGCUUUCUUCUUCCCCUUUUAAUUUUUCCUCUUCUUCUCUUUUAGCUUCCGUAGUAUUGGGAAUCAGUUGUUAUUGAUGUUGGAAAAAGGAAUUGUUUUAUUUGGAUCAUAAGAGGGACAAUCCUGAGCUUGAUUAUGUACUUUCCAUUUGACGCCAUUUAUAUUUAUAGGCUUCUUCAAUAAGUUGAUGUCGUUAUCUGUGUGAAUAUUUUUAGCUCUUGUAAUAAUGCUAUUUGAUUUCUGAUAACUAGUAAUUGGGUAUGGAAAGUGAAACAAGGUUUCCCAGGUCAGUUCAUAAAUAAAUAUAUGUUUACAUUCACGCACUUGCUAGUCAAUUGCUUAGAGCACUAGCAUAGUAGAAUAGCUUCACACUUUAGCUUGAAUUCCCAAGCUAUUGAAUGAGUUCAGUUUUAUGUGCAUAUUUAUUUAGAUUUGGUAAUAAUAUUAGCUUGAUUUUCUGCGUUAUACUUUGAAUCAAUAUAAUGUUUCAAUUUUACAGCAGAGAUUUAUGUUGCUAUUUAGCUUCAGAAAUAUCAGACAAGGAAUUUUAAACAUAAGCUCGAAGCUUGAUUAUUCACAUAUAAAUAAUGUGAUCUAUGUCGAUUGCAGAUUAUUUAGGAAGCAGUAUAGUUCAUACUGAGGUGUUAUCGUGGACAAAAUUAUUGUUUCAUCUGACAUAUUGUUCGCUUAAGCAAUAGUAAUGAACUUGAGGUGUUAGUUUUUGAAGUCUUCUGUUUAUAUAUAAGUUGUAUUGAAUCUCUCUCGACAAUCUUUCUUCUAGUUUUGAUCAUUGCAUCAUAAUUUUCACAUCUGUGUUUAUAAUAUAACUCUGUGCAUUACUUCAUCUUUUUCUCACUUUUUGAUUCCUUGCAUCUUGAAUCUGUUUAAUCAAUAUUCUGGACUUCUUUUGUGGAGAGGCUGCCCUUCUGAGAAUCUGUUUUCAGUUAUCACUUACCCCUUCUAAUAGUUUGCAAACCAGAUGUGGUUUUUGCAUGUUCAUAAACUUGCAAUGUAAUUUGUUUAUUAGUUCAGUUAAUACAAAUUUCAAAGAUGAAAAACACAAAAUGACUAUUUAUUCCAAGCGUAUAUAUUUAUAUCUUGGACAGCAUUGAACUCUUUUUUUAAAAAAAAAAAAAUUGUUACAAUUGCCACAUUUGUAAUCUAAAAUUUAUUGGAAAUCUAGAUACAGACACUUAGUAGUGCAAUCAAAAAUAAAAAAAAUCUGUCGGACAUUAACUUGAAAAUAUGUUUCUACUACUAUUUGGAGAAGUGUAUAUUGUACGUGGCAUUGAACUUUUCUUUCUAUUUCUUUUUUCAAAAUUAUUACAAUUCACACAUAUUUCAUUCUAAAAUUUGUUGAGAUUCUAGAUACAAAUACUCAAGGAUACAAUUUUAAGCAAAUGACUCGUGGAGACUGGAGAUAUCUACCCUUAAUUAUUUAGUGAAAAUAAAUUAGAUAUCAAAUUUUGUCAUAACAAAAUUAAUCCAAAACAAAACAAAAGAUGUCACCUUAAUUGUUGAUAUAUCUGAAUCUUAUUAUCCUCCUUUUGCAACUACGAAAACAAAAGAAUAUUUCAGCAGUGGCGAGAGAGCAGGGCAGAAUCAAGUAUAAAACAUAGGAUAAGGAACGAGAUUAUAACGAACAAAACUACCACUAAAUGAUGACAACUUUCAUUUCAUUUGCAUCUUCAUCCUCUCUGAUUCUUCAACCCCUUAAACCCCCAAAAUCCUCAAGACUCUCAAAAGCAAAGACACUAACUUCAACCAUUAAAGCAACUUCUUCUCAACCAAAACCCAACAACGCAAAUGCUUAAAAACCCACUUCAAGAAACCGCAGAAGAUCAUCGUAUGGCAGUUCGAGAAGGUCAGCUCUCAAGAAAACAUUCGCCCAAGAGCAAGUCACGUUCACUACACCCGUCUCCAGUGACCCGCGUGUGGGGAUUAUUGGUGGAGGCAUGGCCCGUCUCGCACUCUCGCUUGUGCUUUGAGUUUGGAUAAGAGAGGUGUAAAGUCCACUAUUUUUGACACGGUUUGUCACUUGUCUGGUUUCUUGGCCUUUUUUUUUUCUGUACUUUUGUGUUUUUGAUUGGAGAGCUUGAAGUGGGUGGCCAAUUCAAUUAUCUGUUUAAUAUGGUUAGGUUGUGUUUGUAUUUGAGAGUAUACGCUUGUAUAAUGGUAAUGUAAAAAAUUUGCUGUCAACAGUCUAGCAUGUGUUGUUAUGCAUUGAAUUUUGAUUAUAAGCAUCUUUUGGAAUUGAGGUGCUCUGACCUUUGAUCUGCGUUUGUUGAGGAAUGAAAUUAAAACAUUAGCUGCUAAAUAAAAAUGGGGGUUCAUCAAAAUUUUAGUCAACCACAUUUAUGUAUUCUUAACACUGUGCUUUGCUAUAUCAGGGGAAUCAUGGCUUGGGAGGAAGAAUGGGAACCAGAAUGAUUGGUCCUCAACCACUGAUAUUUGAUCAUGCUGCUCAAUUCUUUACUGUGACUGAUUCUCGGUUCAUGAGUUGGUUGAUGGUUGGUUGGAGAGAGGUCUGGUGUGACCAUGGGAAGGUGCGAUUGGAGAGCUUGAAGUGGGUGGCCAAUUCAAUCCAUUUCCUUCUUCACCUCCAAAAUACAUUGGUGUUAAUGGGAUGCGCCCUCUUGCGGACUCUUUAUUGGCCCAGGUGACAAAUCUUUGUUUUGCUUUUGUGUUCUUUUCUUGUUGAUUCCAUCAUGCUUCUUUGAAUUAAAAGGGGAAAAUUGCCUAAUUAAAUCACAAUGGUGAAAAAACCGAAGUAUUGUUUUGAAGUUUGCUGGAAGGUAGUGUUGCUGCUUGGGUAUUCAAAGUCCCAAAAUCAUUAUACCGUUGAGGUUUGACCGGAGAAGGAUGAUAAGAGUAUAUGAAACUAAAAGCUAUAAUUACAUGCUCACAUGAUUUUAAUUGCUUAGGCUGCAUGGCUAUACUUAAUGAAAUGUGCCGACAAUGAUCAUAACUGACGAAAAGAAUAACCAGCAUGAACAUUUUGCACUGCUGUAUGAUGACUACAAUUCCUGUGAAGUAACAGGCUCUAUAUAUGGAUAAUGGAUUAUUAAUAGUGAGUUGGAGUUAGUUAUAGACAGCAUCUUACAUGGCAUGCCUUUAUUUUUAAAUUAUUUAAAUAAGUUCCUUUGUCCUUCAUGCCUUGGCUUAAUGCAUUUUGAUUCUUGUUGCAGACCUCUAUGGUUAGCAUAGUGAGACCUUGCUGGAUAAGUAAUCUUGAGCCAUUUAAUGGAAUGUGGCACUUGAGGGAGAAUGUGAAACCACGUGGGCAGUUUGAUGUGGUUGUUAUUGCUCAUAAUGGUGAUUCAGUGCUGCUAUCCUUUCUCGUUUUCUCUCUCUGUGGAUUGUUAUAGUCUUACAUUUGCAUUCCAAAAAUGCAGGUUAUUGUUUUUCGUAGUUGUAUGAACGUGACAAUUGCCUUUGCUAUUGGAAAAAAAAUAAAAUAUUUCUGAUUUUACUCUCUAUCAUUACAGUGGAUUAGGAAUGGAAAAUAAUCUGGUUUAUUACAGGGAAACCCUACCGAAAUCCAAACUCGGUCCCUCUCCCUAACCAUCCUGGAAUACCCUGGGGGGUUAGAAUGCAUAUAGUGUUACAUUAUAUGAUUUUGUAGUUCGCUGAGUUCUUAUGUUUUCUGCGAUACUAGGACUUCAAAAAGUGCUGAAAACUUCAUAGAAUUUCAUACUGAUUUUUCACUGUCAAUUUGGAGAAAAUGAUGGCUAGAUUACAAGUAAGAUUAAGAGCGACUUUUAAAUUUAAUCAACUGGAAGACUGGUAUUGAAUGGCUAUUAGUUAGGUUAGAAUAAGAUGAGCAAGACUUUCAAGCUGUGCCAUGCAUUCACUGGCCGUUGUAGUAUUACGUAGGUUGUUAUGGAAGUAAAAAAGAUCUCUAUAAAUUUAACAACCAGAUUAGGUUUCUAGAUCCAGAAGUCGAGGUUAUGUUUAUUUGCUUACUCUUUCGACUGUUAAUUGCCUAUGUCUUUUUCUGUUUACAUUUUGGCUUAGCUUUGUAAUAAUAGUUCCUUCAUGUAAUGAUAGGAAAAUGUGCAAACUGGUUGCUUGGUUCAUCUGGCUUACCUCAAAUAGCUAGACAAAUGAAGGUAUAUGCUUUGAAAUAUUCAGUUCUUUUAAUAUUAUCUAGCCUAUGUUUUAUUCAGUAUUGGCCAGUUCUAAUUGUUUUGAAGAUUCAUAACUCAUUUUCCUGGUUUGUAGAGGCUGGAACUAAGUUCUAUAUGGGCCCUUCUUGCUGCAUUUGAGGACCCCCUCCCACUGGGCAGUGCAUCAACAUUUGAAGGCGCCUUUGUGAAAGGUGUUGAUUCUGUCUCAUGGAUGGCAAAUAACUCAGCAAAACUUUUGAAUUCUCAGAGUGAUGCUCCUCACUGUUGGACCUUCUUCAGCACCGCAGCUUACGGAAAAUGAAACAAGGUUCCACAGGUCAGUUUGUAUAUAAAUGUGGGUCUUCUUAAAAGUACUUGCUUACACAUGAUAAUAUGCUAGCAUUGGCACACUUUUUAACCAAUUGCCUGGACCUCUACUUGAAUCCAUUCAUGCUUCAGCUUGAACUCCAAGCUAUAGAAACAAGGCUGCAAUAAGUUCUGUCUUUUUGUGCAUAUUUAUGUUCCCUUUUAUACUUGAAUCAAUAUGACAUUUCAAGUUUACAGCGAACUUUGGUGCUGUGUGGAUAUAUAUAUGUUGCAAUUUAGGCUUUCUGCAAGAUUUUUAAUGAUUUUUUUAUCAUUUAUUAGGAAAAUAUCCCAACUGCAACAGCAGAGAAGGUGAAAAAAGGUAUGCUCGAGGGUGUUGAAGCUGCACUUGGCCGACCGAAAGGUUCACUUCAGAAGCCCAUUUAUACUCGAGUCCAUUUAUGGUAAGACUCCACUUUUAAGGACAUGACCUUGUAAUUUCAUUUUUUUAUCUUGUCCAAUUUGGAUCCUUGUAACCUACUUGACCUGUAAAUAUUUGCUGUUGGUGUUGGUUUAGAAUGAGUGGUUGAUUUGGACAAGCUUAAAAAGUUAUUGUGUGGACUUGUGUAUAGUCCUAGUUCUAUUUUCCUGUUACGCUCAUUUUUAAAAAAAGAUGGAACAUGUCAUUCCAAUUUAUUAAAUAAAUAAAACAACUUCAGAAUUUCAUGAUUAAGAAAAUAGUUCCUAUGUGAUGAAUUAGGUAUUUAUUUAUUUAUAUAUCUAUUUUAUUUAUUUAUUUUUUUGGGGGGGAAAUGUGUAGGGGUGCAGCUCUUCCAACUAAUACCCCAAGUAUUCCAUGUAUCUUUGAUCCUCAUGGAAGGGCUGGUAUAUGCGGCAAUUGGCUGUUGGGUUCAAGUGUAGAGUCAGCUGCAUUGAGUGGCAUGGCUCUUGCCAAUCAUGUAAGCAAGAAUAUGAUUUUUCUUUUGCUUAUUUGGUUUUAUUUUGUGCAUGUAACUAUAUAUUUCAUGAUUGAUAUAAAUAAAAUAAAAUAAAUCUAAGACAACCAUUCUAUCCCUAUAGGGACAUCUAAAUAUAAAUUUGUAGAUUGGCUUCAAUCAGAUUGAAAUAUCAGACAAGUUUCAACAACAUUAGCUUGAAGCUUGGUUAUUCUUAUAUAAAUAACGUAAUCGGUCUAUGUAGAUUGCAGACUAUUUAGGAAGUGGUGGAGUUCGUCCUGAGGAAUUUGCUGUCGGUUUACACAACGAGUUUCAAUCGCUCGAAGGACAUGAUAUUGGACAAUUCCUGGGUUUGGAGUCCGUGAAAAAAGAGCAAGUUCAAGCAUAUCAGCUUACUUCUUGAAUCCCUAAGCAGGCCACAAAAAUUUCUGGAGUUUUUCAAGGUAUACUUCUAUUGAUACACUCUUUAUGGCUUUCUUUUUUUCACUUGGGUUACUGUCAUGUUAAUUCUCUUGGUUUUUAUGGCUAGGAUUAAGAAGUUUAUUCACAAAAUGCAGUUAUUGGCAUAGUUGCUAAGCAAGCAUCCUGAAAUUCUUUUUGUGAUACCAUCCAUUAUGAAACGUAAAUGAGUACAGAUGCAAAGGAGAGCGGAUUCUUGGAGCAGCUAAAUCCUUACAGAAAACUUGUUUUCAGUAGCAUAGGUGACAGGAAUUGUGAUAUUUCCCUGGCUUUCAUGGAAGAAAAUAAAAAAUUUCUAAUAACUGUAACCUUUUUGAGUUCUCCACAAAUCAGUUUGAAUAUGAAGCCAAAAAUCAGAUGCAGAUUUCAGAGCAACAAAGUUCAAUGCUAUCAGUUGUUUUGGGUUCAAGUGAUCAGAGCUUCAUCCGGCACAAGCUCGCCUAACAGAGUAUGAAAAAUAUUGAAACCUACAGUUAACAAUUCUCAAGUUCCAUAUUUGACCUGUAAUCACAUUCAAGUUAAUACAUGACUACUGAUAUAUGAAAUGACAUUUUUAUUCAGUUCCAGGAAAGUCGCAUGCAGAGGAUUUAAGUUUCAUAUUAAUGGAAUGGUUUUGAGCUUUAUUAUUAGAUUUUUAAAAAAAAAUAAUUAAUGGAGUUAACAUUACUUAUUACAGGACAAGAAAGAGAGAUUAAUUCUCCAUGGGAAAAGCGUUGAAAGAAGCUUCUCAUGCGCGUAAUCAGCCUCUCAGUUGCUUACCAUGGCAUCUUUUCCAUACUUAUACACAUGUUGAUAGAAUUCUUUCUUGGUUAAAUAAUCUGGGACAAAUCGCUGUUCAUUGGCAACACGAGCAACAAAAUAUCACACAAAUUAAUUCCAACAAAAAUAAUAUUUUUACACGAGAGACUUGUGUGAGAGAAGAGGGUUAAUUAGAUGAUUACUAUUGAGAUCACAAGUAUGAGCGAAAUGAACACAGGCAAUUGAACAAACCGUGACAGAGUCUAUCCAGCUGAAGAAAUCGAAAACUCUUCGGCAUUUGUCUGCAAGCUUUAAAGCCGUCGGAAAACCAUUGUGCUUCUGCUAAAUUAACUUGAUAGCCAGCAACAAAAACAACAAGAAGAGCCCAGCACAGUAGCAGUUUCUAGUUUUUCAUGCUUCCCUUCUUUUCUUUCUUGAGAUUGAAAUGAUUUAAGAUUUAUUUAAAGGGUCUUUGUCUUGGUAUGCAAAUAAUGGUUUGAAAACAGAUUAUAUGCUAUUACAAGUUAAUUUUUCUGAUAACGAGUGUUUGACUAGGAUUCUUGUCGUAGUAUAAUUAUUAAACAUGAUUUUAUAAUUAAUGAUUCUACUAUGGUAGUAAUGAUUCUAUAAUGAUUUUAUAAUUAAUGAUUCUACCAGGAUUUGAAAACUACUAUGGUAGUAAAAUUGCUUGAAGCAACAGCUUAAAAUUAUCAGAUGGUGUGAAAACCGGAGAAGAUCUACCAAGAGGGUAAUGAAGUUUUCUAAAGUCCAACUGAAAUGAUUUCAGGAUUCACUUCAACAAUGCAAAAACAUAUUUGAUAUUUCAAAACUGAUGAAAUUCAUUAUCAUUAUCGUUAUCUUGGACGUAUUUGAAAUGCAUUAUCAUUAUCGUUAUUUCAAAACUGAUGAAACAUAUUUGAAAUGCAUUAAUUACUGAUGCUAGCACUUGAAAUAAAAAAAUAAAAAAUCAAAUGAUAGCCAUGUUCAAGAAGCGAAGUAUUUUUAUAUUUCAUACUUGGCCGUACCGCAAACCCAAUUUAUAAGACAUGAAGAAGAAAUCUCCUUUAUAGAGUUAUUUCUAAAAUGGCAGAAUCUACCAUCUUGAAUCAAAGUAUAUCAUUAGAAAAAGAAGGAGAAUUAAGGACAUUUUAUCUCGAGAGCUACCUGAUAGGGUACUCCAUUCUUGACAGAGUAACGGCCCUCGUUGUCAUAUUGCCACAGAAUCUGAAGUUCUUUGAGGAAAUGAAUGCUUUGGUGGAAGAAGACCUUGAGCAAGAACAAGACCAACAUGAAAGAGAGAUGAAGAAAAUCUCUAAUUUUGCAAAUAUGGUCUGAUUGGCUUGUCAGAUAACUAACCAAACUAAUCACUACUUUCAGUGUCAAUCAAAUUCCAACAAACAAUUCAUUUUCUGUUCGAACUCGAGUGGUGAUCAGCCAAAUAAAGUUGCCUGAAAACUGCUCCGACAAAACUCUGGGGAUAUAGUACAUUGCUUGUUGAAAUUGGUGUAUGUAAACAGAAAUUCAAAAGCCCUCACCGAAAUUUGACAGAGAUUGAAAGUAGCGAUUAAUUUGGUUAGAUAAAACUUACAAGCCCACAAGACCAAUUUGAUUAGUUAGAGAUCUUCUUCCACCAAGCAUCCACUUCCCCAAAGGAUUUCACCCAGAGGAUUUCAAGAGAUCGAUCUUUAAUUUGCCGUCUCUGAACAUGAAACAUGAUCCAAUAUAUUAUCACCACCUAGCAAUAUCUGAGUAGGCUUCUCUUUAACCUUGCAUGUUAUAAAGAUUGAGUACAUAUAAAUAAAAGGCAAGUGCUAAGUUAUAUGUAAUGUAACUUACACUACUCACAUGAACAGUGAGUGAGCCCCACACCAUCACUAUUAAUGUGAGUAGAUGUAAGUUACAUUAAAUAUAACUUAGAGGGAUCUAGAUAAAAUUGUACUCUGAAAAUUUGCCCUGGCCCUCAAUACAUGUUAAUCCAUGAGUUAGGUAAGAGUUAGUUAGCUUUGUCCUAUUUAGGAUUGCUGCCUUAUAGGUGUAGCUUCUAAGCAACAACCUCGGUUAAUGACUUUGUAUUUGAUGAAAAAUCUUUGUUACUCUCACUAUUUUUUUCAAUUAUUAUUUUUCAAGCUUUAAAAAUCAUAUUUAUCAAUUAUUUUCAACUUUUAUUUCGUUGCAAUUGUAACUCAAUUUUUAAGCCACAACACUCUAAAUAAAUCCUCAACAAUUAAUGGUCUCUUUAACCUUGAAAUAUUAAUAACCCACCUUCGGUCACCAUGAGCCACCACCGCACCACGAACUGCCAUCGGCAUUUAUAUUUUGCUAUCUUUUGACGUUAAUUUUAUACUAUUAGAAUCUUUAUUACUGGAUCUACCCAACAAUUGCUUGUAUCAUCGACAAUAAAGUUUCUCGUCAUUUUAAGUACAUAGAUACAAAACUUUGACCGUAAAUCUACGAUGAACAGAAGCUCUAUUUUCGGUAUUACAUUUACUGUUAUGAAACUCCAACGAUAAGGAUUCUCUUGGUAUCAAAAUUGACGUCAAAGGAUGCCAAAAUUAUAUCGAAGAGGGUAGAUUACGGUGGUUGGUGAUGGUCAAUAAUUUUGCCAUUCAAAUUUAUUAUUUGAUAAACUAAUGAUAAACAAAUUAAAUAUGUUUUAGUGUGUUAAAUAAUUUUGUAUUUUAAAAGUCAACAAGACAUUGACGGGGAGGGGGGAAGGGGGCAUGGGCUUUGAUAACGCAGCAAAAAAUGCAUUAACGUUGUAAUUAGUGUUAUCCAACGCAUUUCAUUUCAAUUACUAAAAAUUGGUUUGUUUCAAUUAAUGUUGUACCCAUGAAGUAGAGUAUGCCAAACGUAUUUUUUAAGUAUUGAAAUUGGGCAAAAGUUAUACCAUAAAAAUAUUUGAUAAACACUUGUUACUAUAAUUUAAAAUUUAAGUUGAUUUGAUUAAUAAGAUAAAAAAUUUAAAAUAUAUUUUUUGUUUUUAUAAAAUUUUAUUUAAAAAUUAUAUUUAUUAUGCAUUAUUAAUUUUUAUAUCAAUUUAAACAAAAAUGCGAAGAAGCCCCGGCCUUUUAAUAGAAAUGCGAAGGCAGUGUUGCAACUUGGGUCGGUCCUCCCAAGUACAGUACUAUGGUACUGAUCAAAGUCCCAACCUCAUCUCAGUUUUGAGGUUUAAUCCCAUAAGGAAAAUAAGAAUAUAUGAAACUAGAAGCUAAAAUUACAUGGUCACAUGAUUGCAAUUGCAUAGGCUGCAUGGGUGGACUUAAUCAUAACUGAGGAAAAGUAGUAGCAUGAACAUUUAUUUUGGCACCACUUUGUUAUGACUAUAAUUUGUGAAAAGCAACAAGCUUAUUUAUAUAUGCUACAUUAGUAUUGAAAUGGAGUUAGGUGGAUACAAACAUCUUAUCAAGGCGUAUGCCAUUAUUAUAAAAUUAUGUAAGGCAAGUUCCUUCAUGUCAUGUCCUUUUACGGGUCUAAUUCUGUUUUAAUGAUUGUUGCAUCUUAAGGUUAAUGGAAUGAGACCUGCUGGACAAGUAAUCUUGAGCCAUUUUUUCUUCCCAAUUUUGUUUGUUUGUUUGUUUUGGGGAUUGUAAUGCAAAAGAUUUUAGACUGGGAAUGUAAUUAUAUGUUGCUAUGAGCUUUAGUUUGAUUAUAAUGAAUAAAUAAAUGUAUUACUGAAUUUCAGAAAUGAAGCUAGUGGGAAGAAGAAUUAAGCUUAAUUGAGAUUGAUAUAUAGAGGGGUACUGUGAUGAUCCAAGCAUUGAAGGCACAAAGAUCCAUCUCUGUUGGAUUACAAACGAGCAAGGAUAUCAAAGAAACCCCACCAACAAGGCAAUUUAGAGACAAUCUGUUCUACAUAGAUUCACUUAUUCUCUAACAUAAAUUACUUCUUGUGUGUUUUCUUAAGCAUUCAUUGCUUUUUGGGACUUGAUAGAGUGUUGUGGGAGUUUGACAAUUAUAGUAUCUGUGGAACUUAUAUCGUAGCUUUUGUUAUGUCAUGACAUCGCAGCUUAGUUUUAAUCUCAAUUGUUAAUGUCAUCAUCACGAUUCAUGAUGUCAUGGAAGUUCAUGAAUGUUUAUCUUCAGCUAUGUAAAUGAUGCAAAUCAAUUAUUAAAUGGUCAAUUUUAUUCAUAAAUUAUUAAUUAUAAAAGAAAUGAAAAAAUCUCAAUAGUCGGUAGAAGUAAAGGUAUCAAUUUAAUUAGAUCAUAGAUAAUAAACAAAAAAUAAAUUUUAAGUAAAUCAUAAAUAAAAAAUAAAAAAAUUAAUUAAUUACUAUAAGGUAUAAAUAAAAAAUAAUGACAUAAAUGGAAGUCUCAUAAAUAGAUAUUUAUAUUUUAAUCUUAUCCCACUUAAACUCAUGCAUAAAUUAGGAUUAAUAAUCUCAUAAUUUAGGAUUAAAUUUAAAUUUAGAUUUCCUCUGUCUAAUCGAGAUAAACUUACAAAAUAUAGGAUAAAUAUUUAAUCACAAAAUUAAUCCAAUCUCAUACUUAAAACCUAGUAUCCACUAGGAGCUGUACGUUGCAGAUGGUAAUGGGCACUGCUUGCACUCCGCAUUGGGCUUAUUAUUACUAAAUCCACACUCGCAUAAAAUUUAAAUUAUCAAACCGACACCCACAUCUGCUGCGGGUUUUAAUUUUUUAAGAAAAUCCACCCGUUGUAGGUUUUGACAAUUACUAUCUACAAUGCUACCCGACGGAUUUUUUGCGGGUUCUCAUAUUUAAAAUAACAAAUGUUUAAUAUAUAAAUUUAUAUUAAUAAGCUAAAAUUCCACAAAAAUAUACUCAAUUCUAAAUUUAAUCAAAGUAAAUAGAAAAUUAAAAUUUCAAUAUCAAUUCAACACAAAUUCUUAAAUUUAAGUAUGAAAUAUAUAAAUCCAUAAAAAAAAACCACAAAUGCCACGAAAAAUUCAUGGGUGUGCGGUUGCGGCACAAGGGUGAAAGGAAAAUGGGUAUGCUACUGCUGCUCAUGGGUGGAAGGGAAAUAGUUUGGAAGGCUAGGUUUUGCAGCUGCUGCUCAAAGGUGAAAGGGAAAUAGUUUGGGUUUCCUUUAGGUUAGGCUAUGAGUUGCAACUUGCACACACGACAUGUAACGUAUUUAUACUUUACAUUUAUUUAAUUUAUAAAUUUUUAGAUUUAAUUAUUUUUUCAAUUAAAAUUACAUUAAAAAUAUUUGGGGAAAAAAGUUACAGGUUUAGUAGAUAUCCAGGCGGCAUCCAUCGGAUAUUUAGUUAAUACCAAACCCACCCACAACGUAGUGCAAGUUUCAAUUUUUGAUACCAAACCCGCCCGUAACCCACAAAAUUACUAGUAAUGAGCGGGUUUUGGCAGGCAAGUUUGGACGAAUUUACUGGUUUGUAGGUACCAUUUAGGCUUGGCAAAAUCUGGAUCCAGUCCGGGUUUUGGUGUUGCCCGGGACUGGACCAAAUGAGUGAAACUCAAGACCGGACCCGGGUUAAAACCCGAUUUUUCCAGGUGCGGUCCGGGCUCAAGCCCGGCACCCUCGGGCCGGGGUUUUUUAUCCGGGUUUCUAAGCCCGCAUGUGAUAACUCAAUAUUUUUUUUCUUCAAUUUUUUCUUUCAUUUAUCUAACAAUGCAAAUUUUAGAAAAGAAAAUAGUCGAAUAAACUCAUUCAAUCUCAAGCUUUAAAAAAGAAAAUAAUCAAAUACAAAUAUAUAACAUACUAACAAUGCAAAUUUACACAAAUAAUAAAUAAAAAUUAUUUCAAUCUACUUUCUGAUACCUAAAUUCAUCCAAUUUCUAACCUAAACUCAUUCAAUUUAUAUAAAAAAUAAAAUUAAAUUCAACAACACAAUAAUCACACAAUAAAUCUAAAUAACAUCCAACAUAUCAUAAAUUCAUAAUUAUAUAUAUAUAUAUAUUAAUUUAUUAAGAAACCAGGGCCGGGUCCGGGUUGGGUUUUUGGUGUUGAACCCGCAAAAUUACUCACAGCGGGCGGGUUUUGGCUGGCAAGUUUGGAUGGAUUUGCGGGUUUGUAGGUACCGUUACCAUCCAUAGUUGCAUGUUGCAGUUAAGUUGAUGCGGAAAAAGAAAUGUAGGCAUGAAAUAAAAAUUAAUAACAUAUAGUAAAUAUAAUUUUUAAAUAAUAAUUUUAACAAAAUUAAUAAAAUUAUAAUUUUUUUUUAUCAUACAAGUGUAAAAUCAAAUCAACUUAAUUUUUAAGUUAUAACAACUAACAUUUAUCAAACAGCUUAGUAUUAUUGUUUAAAAUGCCUAAGUUACCCAUUUAAUAAUUUAAUAUAUAAGAUACAUAUGUAAUCGAAUGAACAAGGGAAUUGACAUAUAAGCAAAUCAAAGAUAUUGUUUAACAAACAAUAAAAUUGUGCCACGUUUUGUAAGGAUGAGGAAACUUAACGGGCUUAACCGGAGCCUAUCGUUCAUUGAUUGUCAAGUUUUGUAAUGAGUACGGCUGCUCGAUCGCCAUCUUUUGCAAGCACCAGCUGCCACACUGCAGACACUUCCACCAUUGCGAAAUGGUCAUGCUUCAGUCUUUUUGUUUUUGUUAUGAGUGCCGCUAAAUAUCAAGAACAACGAGAGAAGGAUGAGAGAAUUACCUAUUCUCUCUCUCUGUUGUUGAUUUUUUUUUUCUCUCUCUUCUCCCACCACAUGCUUCAUUCUCUCGUCAUUCUUUCGUUUUUCUUGAUACUUAACAUUUUUCUUUUGUUAUACACAUUCGAGCAAGUCUUGCGUACAUCAGUUUGUGCCUGAGUUGCUGCCCUUUCAUUUUUACUUUAUGUAUUAAAGCAUCAUUCAUAAUCCUCCUCCCCACUAAAAAUGUUUUGAUAAAAUUAAUUAAAUAUUUAAAUUAUUUUAUUUAUUUAUUGUAUUAUGAUUACCCAAUAACUUAUUUACAAGAUAUUUAAUUUCCUUAUUAUUUUAACUUAUUUACAACGAUGGCAAUUGAACUCCCACACUCACUUCAACGACUUGACAAUUAAUGGUAGGAUAGUAAGCCUUUGAAUUUACGGAUUAUGUAAUGACUUCAAUGACUUUAGGCUAUGUUUUGGAGAUAUGAUUAAAUGCAGGAUUAGAUUAAUGUUAGAAUUAAAUAUUUAUCUUAUAUUUGGCAAGCUCCACUUUGGAUUAAAUUAUGGGACUAAAUUUGAAUUUAAUCCUAAGAUUAUGGGGAUUAACAAUCCCAAUUGAGAGAUGGGUUUAGUUAGGAUUAACUUUAAAAAUAAUUGUCUAUUUAAUUAAUUAUUAAAUGAAUAUCUAAUAUAAUAUUGGUUACUUUUAAAUUAUUUGCUAAUUUUUUGAUAAAAUAAAAUUAAAUAUUUAAAUAAUUUUUAAUUUGAUUUAACCUAGUCUAGUUUAUAUUUGUUUAUUAUAAUUAUAAUUGCCUAAUAACUAAUUUUCUGGAUAUUUAGUUUUAAUUAAUUAUCUUUUAAAUUAUUAUCAUUAAUUAUUUUAUUAUUAAAUAUUCAUAAAUAAUUCAUAUUUAUAUUUAAAUAUCAACUUAAAUGCUAUUUAAUUUUAUUCAAAUAAAAUUUAAUAUAGUCCAUUCCAAUACUAUACCAAACAUAAGAUAAUAUUAUAUAAGACAAGCUAAUUUAAUUAAAUUUAAUUAAAUCUAAUCCUAAUAAUUGGUUCAAUCUAAUCAUGCUUCCCAAACGUGGCCUUAACGUAAUAGUGCCGAUAUUUAGGGAUGGCAAUGGAUUGGAUUUGAUUCAAGAUCCAUGUGAUCCAAAUCCAAUCGGAUCGGAUUUGGAUCGGUUUAAAAUGGAUUUGGAUCGGAUUUGGAUAUCGAUGUGCGGAUCUAAGACGGAUCUGGAGCAGAUAUGGAUCUAUCUUAAUAUCUAAAUCCAUAUCCAUAUCCACUCAUCUUUUAAUUUUAUUUUAUUUUAAAAGUUUCUUAAUAAUUGUGGAAUGAUAAUGAUAAUAAAUUUUAUUCAUAGCAUAUUAGUAGUAUUUACCAUGAAUUUAAACUCUUAAAACUUAAAGGUUAGUUUUGUAAAUUUAAAGGUCAGCCAAGCCUCAAAGCAUGUACAUGCAAUAUUCAAAUUGCAAUCCAAGUAAUAUAACUUGGUAAUUUAUUUUAUCAUAUUGGCCAAAUAAUUUUUAAGGAAUAUAGUUAUUCAUAUAUUUAGUCAAAUAUGGUCAUAAUAAAAAUAAUAAAGGACUGAAUAUAAAUCAUAUUUAAUUUAUAUGUCAUUAUCUAAUGUUGUAGGAAUGAGGGUAGGUGUAUCGUGAAUACUAGAAUGAUGAAGGAGACAAUAGAAUAUUAGAUUGAUCUUACUCCUGUAAUUACUUCUGAAUGAUAUUUUAUUAUCUUUCUUAUUUGUUGUUUUGGUGUAGAAGUAUAAGCUACAAUAUUUAUUAUAUUUUUGAGAAAAAUUAUAUAAUUUAUUUGUUAUCAAUACAUUUUAGCACUCAAUUUUCAAUCUAAAAAAUUAUUACUUUUUUAUUACAAAAUUUUAAAAUUCAUGACGGAUCUAGAGCAGAUUUGGAUUUUAAUUUUUUUUUUCGGAUUUGGAGCAGAUAGAGAUAUUUAUUUCUUUUUUUGAUCUGGAUAUGGAGCGAAAAAUAUGGAUUCAUAACGGAUCUGGAGCAGAUGCGGAUCUUGAUUUUUAUUAUGGAUUUGGAUUUGGAGCAGAGUAGAUCCAACCCAUAUCUGCCCCAUUGCCAUCCCUACCGAUAUUGAUCGUGAUAAUGCACUCACUAUAUUGGGUGAUACACACCCAACCAUUCUUGUCUAGUUGGGGACCAUUCUUGAUCUUUUUAUUGCACUGAUCCGAUGUUCCACAUUUAGCCACGUUUCCGCUUUUACACAACCAAAGUUGUUGACCACAUCCGAAUUAGGGGUGUUAAAAAUGACCCGCCCAGUCCAGAUCCAAACCGCACCCUGACGUUGUGAGCCGAGUAUUACCCGGCCAGUUAUAAAGCCGGGCUAGUUUAUGAAUUAUUUGAUAAAUUCGGGACACGACCCAUAACUCGGAUUUAUUAAAAAAAAAAUUAAAUAUAUAUUAUUUUAAAUAUUUAUAUUUAUUUGACCCAUCUAUUACACAUAUAUAAAGUUUUAAACAUUUAAAGUUUAUUUUCAUGUCAAAAUUUAUUGAAAUAAAUUUAAAACUUAUAAAAUUACAAAAAAUAAAAAAAUUAUACAUAUAUAAUAUUAAAAAAAUACAUUUGUCGAAUAAAAUUUAAAUUUUGAAUAAAUAAAAAUUACGGAGUUGAAAAUAAGAGGUUUCCGUCACGCUAAUUUAAAUGGAGAGGAUAUUAAGUUCAGGCUAAAUAAUUAUUAAAAAAUUCAUAAUAAAAAAGCAAAAAGAAAAUAAAAAUAAUCCCAAUCUGUUUGAUGAACAAGGAUAGAAAAGGAUGAUUGUUUUAUGAGUAGAUUUGGCUCAUUGGUUGGAACAGUUUGGUUGUUGACUUGUCAAGUGUUGAUUGGAUGCUCAUCUAGUGGUCCCCAUAAUGUUAUUGAAUUAUAGUUAUUAGGGUUGGUAAAAUGCGGGUUUGGGCUCAGGUAUCGCAAUGCCCGGACCUGGCCCAGAUGUAAUUUUUAGAUGCUCGGACUGGGUUUUAAUUCGGAUACCUGGAUUUUAAAUUUUUUAAUAUUAUUUAUGUAUAAUUUUUUAUUUUUUUGUAAUUUUUUAAGUUUUAAAUUUAUUUUAAUAAAAUUUGACAUGAAAAUAUAAAUUUUAAGUAUUUAAAACUUUAGAUAUGUGUAAUAGAUGAGUCAAAUAAAUAUAAAUAUUUAAAAUAGUAUAUUUUUUUAAUAAAAUUUGAGUUUCGAGCUAGGUUCUGAGUUUAUUAAGUGAUGUUUAAGACCGACCCGACUUCAUACUCAGACCAAAUAAUACCCGACCCACAACGCCUGGAUGCGAUCUAGAUCUGGACCGAGGGGGUAUUUUUACCACCCCUAAUUGUUAUCUUCUUUCGUUUUCGUUUCCAUGUUUCAAGAUUUUCUAAUUAUUUAAUUAUGCUAUUUUCUUUUAAUAUGGUACACGCUACACACACUAGACAGGCAAUCCCAUUGAUGCUCUUUCCAAUCUCAUUAAGCAAUCAUCAUUAGCAUAUUUUUACAGCAUUCAAAUUAUUAAAAAUUAAAAUAACAUCAUUAACAGUUUGGAUUGGAACAACAUCUUGAAAUUAUAUAUCAAAAAGCUAAAAUUAUUAAACAAAAAGAAGAAAGAACUUGUAUACUUAUUGAUUACAACUUUCUCAUCUUAUUUGAACAAUGAAGAUGUCUUUCUGUGUGCACAUGCGCCGUAAGAUGAUUACGUUGUGGGGAAAACUGUGAUAAAAUUUUGGACCCAGUUGCCUUUGAUUUUUCAGACUGUCGAAAAUUGCGGCUAUGUGUUCACACUAUAUUAGUUCAGUUUAACCAUGCAAAGUUUUUGGGUAUUAUUCAUUGCGUGACACUGGAGACAAUUUAUAUUUAAUAGUUGGUUAGGCAUUUUGCUUGAUAUUAUUUGGACUCGUAGGGGUGUUAAAAUUUUUGUUAAUUUAUAAUUCAGAUCUUAUUGUAAUAAGAUAGCAAUUUUUGUUGUGGCAAAAUGUUGUUUGUUACAUAAACAGUUCAUACCAAGAAGAGCAGCCAUAUUUGACUUUUUAGAAGGACAUAAUAUUGGAAUAAGCGCAAUUAAGCAGUUAGCAAGCCUUUAGGAUGGAUGGCUUUCUAUGCAAAUGGGCUAUAAGAAUAAGAUGAUUUAAGUUUAGGGGAAAUUUGUACAUCUAGUUGCCUUCAAUUUUUCUGACGGGGAAAAUUGUGGAUGACACGUGUAAUUUAAACAACUUAAAAGAAGAAAUUAAGAUUAUCAUAUGAUAUAAUUAUAAAACGUCAAAAAGUGUAAUUAGAAAUUUUUGCUAAAGUAGAGAGAGAAUAAAAGGUCACAAAUUUGCUUUAAUUUACUCUAUGCUCCACGCGGUAUACUAGCUAGUACAAAUUCAGUAUGAUCACUACUUUAUAUAUGCAUUGCUUGAAAGUUAUAUAAAGUAAAUCUCUUUCACUUAUCAAAUUUUAAGUAUUAAUUAAUAAAUUAAUAAUGCUUAAUUAGAGAAGAAAAAACUAAGGGACAGUCCGGAAAGAUUAUUUGAUUAAAAUAUAUUCUUAAAUUCUACUAAAAGUUCAAUAGUGAAUAUAAAGUACAAAUAUAUAAUUUAAUAAUUUUCAAACAGAAUGUUCUUUUUUCAAUAAGAUUGGCUCAUAUUAAACUCUUUAUUAUUAAUCUAUAUUCCAUAAAGUACAAACUCUUUAUUAUUAAUCUAUAUUAAACUACCAACAAAGUGUUGGCUCCACUGGCAAUGGAGUCUCCUUAAGUGGUUUGACUGGAUUUGCUCCCCAGUUUGAGUCGCUGGGAAGUCGCAUUUGUUGGGAGAACAUGUGUCUCUCGGUUCGAGCAGGGACUUUUAGUAUGGGUUGUGGUACGGGCUUAAAAGUGCAUCCCAUAGUUGGGGCCCUUCCCAGGAUACCUCGUGGUCAAAACAAAAAAAAAAUUAAUCUAUAUUAAACUCAUGUCUCUUUCUAUACACAGUUGGCCUCCGUGCAAAAAGCAGUUUUCCGCGCGUAAAUCUUGUAUUAAUUUAGUGCAUGAUCUUAAGCAACAUCUUUGAUUUGCUAUUGUGUUGAUUAUCUCUGUUGAUUUUCCUAAUAUUAUAUCAUUUGUACUCUCUCAUACAUAAUAAAUUAUUAAAUCAAUGGUUUAUUCUUAAUAAGUUUUUUAGCAUUAAUUUGGGUGAAGGGGGACACAAUAGAUACAAAAUGGUUUCUUUGAGGAUUUUGUUUUUCUGUGAAAAAUCCAAAACUGAGAUGCGGUCAUGGGAUGAUUCCCUAAAUGAACAGACAUGUGGCAGAUGAAGCAGUCGUGGGUAAGUAUUAUUAGGAAUUUGAGUUGAUAUUUCAAAAUACUAAUAUCCCACGUUGUUUAAACAAGAGAACACAAGUUGAUUUAUUUAUAAAAACUAGAUACAUUGUGGCAUCAGAAUAAUGUUAUGUUAUAUGUAUGUAACUUAUAAUCCUCUCACAUAAAUAGUGGAUGAACCCACACUAUUAUUCAUGUGAGAAAAUUAUAAAUUACAUGCAUGUAACUUAGGGGAUCUUGUGGCAACAAAUCCCCGCAACACGAAACCAAGCAUAACUAAAAAUACUUUAAAGAAAUAUACGUAAAUUCCCAAGAGUUCAAAAGUUCACAAAACCAAGCAAUCCUUCGAAAGUUAAAUUCCCACUAUAAAGAAAUACAAGAAAUUUGUUCCAAACUCAAAAAGAAGACCCAAAGACCUAUAACUCUGAAAGCUACCUUUGAGACACAAGUAACAAAAGAACUUUGAAAGCUACCUUAGUGACACAAAGAACAAAAGAACUCUGAAAGCUACCUUAGUGACACAAGUAACAAAAGAACUCUGAAAGCUACCUUAGUGACACAAAUAACAAAAGAACUCUGAAACCUACCUUCAGAGCAAAAGAGAAGAAAUUACACAAGUAACAAAAGAACUCUGAAAGCUACCUCCUUCAGAGCAAAUCUGAAGGUACAAGAAAUUUGUUCUAAGCUCAAAAAGAAGACCCAAAGACCCAUAACUCUGAAAGCUACCUUAGAGACACAAGUAACAAAAGAACUUUGAAAGCUACCUUAGAGACACAAAUAACAAAAGAACUCUGAAAGCUACCUUCAGAGCAAAAGAGAAUAAAUAAAUUUCUAGAGACACAAAUAACUCUGAAAGCUACCUUCAGCGCCAAAGAGACACAAAUAACAAAAGAACUCUGAAAGCUACCUUCAGACCUUCAGCGCAAAAGAGUCCCUGGAAAAGAAGUCCCAGGAAAAGACCCAAAGACACAAAUAAAUAAAUAAAUUUCUCUUCUCCUGACACAAAGACACCGCAGAUACUAAAGCUACCUUCAGACCUCAAAAACCCCCUAUAAAUAAAUUUCCCCCUCAAAGCCAUCAGACCUCAACGCCAAUUCCCAAUUUCGCAGAUACUAUAAAGAAAUACUUUUUAAUUAGUUGAAACCUCAAAGAAACCCAGAAACCCUUCAAUUCAAACCUCAAAAAAUGUGCCUCGGAAACAAACCAUAUCAGUGCUCUGUUAUCUGGGAUGGGGAUGAAAACCUCGUUCACUUCAAGUGCCGUGUUCCAUCAACGACGAAGCGAGAGGAUGUGAAGGUUGAGAUUGAUGAACAUGGGAAAUUGCUUAUAGAAAUAAGCAAAGGGGUAAGUUCACAUAGUGAUCCUCUCUCUUCAGCUUCUUCCUUGAUGAUCAGAUUCGGAUCCUUUCUCCUAAGCUUCCUGAAGAAAAAUGAGGGAGACACCACCAGCCCGAUAGGCCCGAUGGAAUUUAACUUGCCAGCGGGUCUUAACACGAAUGACUUCGAGACUGCGAUCGAUGACGAGGGGUUGCUGACUCUCACUUUCAAAAAGCUCGUGCCCAUUCGUGCCCAUUAUCAGCGCUCUGUGUUCUGGGACGAGGAUGAAAACCUCGUUCACUUCAACUACCGUCUUCCAUCAGGGACGAAGCGAGAGGAUGUGAAGGUUGAGAUUGAUGAAGAUGGCAAAUUGCUUAUAACAAUAAUAAGCAAGGUGGCAGGUGCACAUACUGAUUCCUCCAUGAUCAUAUCCUCUCUCUUCAGUUUCCUGAAUAAAAAGGAAGGAGACACCACCAGCCAGAUAAUCCGGAUGGAAUUCAACUUGCCAGCGGGUCUUAACACGAAUGGCUUCGAGACUGCGAUCGUUGACGAGGGCUCGCUAACUCUCACUUUCAAAAAGCUCGUGGAGUGGAAGAACAAAAAGCGCGUCUUUCACUUCAAGGCCUAUCUGCCAGCGGGGACGAAGAUGGACGACAUGACGGUUGACAUAGAAGGUCGCAAAUCCCUUGUGAUAGGCAUUCAUGAUCGGCUGAAGAAAGAGGAAGGGGACACCAGUACCCGCAUGUGCUUGAAUGGCAAGAACUUUAGGAGCUUCAUUUUGCCAGAUGGUGUGAACCCAAAUGGCUUCGAGACUGCAAUGGAUGAUGCCGGUGUUCUAACUGUUACCUUCACUAAACUCAAGCCGGAGAAGAAAAAGCUGGGGCCAAUAGCGAAGAAGAUGCUGGGAUGUUUGGCUGAUGCUGCUCUUAUGCUGAUAUGUGGGGGGAUAACUGAUGCGAUUUGUCCAGGAGACUGCUAACAGGCUGGUGUCAAGUAGGUAUUUGCUUUAUGUUCACGUAUGUUGUUUCUGUCGUUUAUCUGUCAGUGUUUGAAAGAAAAAUAAAAAAGAACUCUGGACUCCAUAGUCUAGACCAGGUGUUCGUUAAUUUCUGUGUUGUGUGGUGUUGUGACUCCAGAUCGAGUCAAGACCAGGUGUUCGUCAAUUUCCGUCUUUCGUGGUGUUGUAUCUCCUUUGUUUCAGUGAAAUAAAAAAUGAUAAAACGCUGUUGAGCGAAAAAUAAAUGCAUUUUUUUUUUAAUGGUGUUGAAUAUUAAAAAAACAAAACAAGGCCUGGUUUCAUGCAUACGUGCAGCCACAAGAUAAAGGAGAAACUGGAGAUCGGUCAGGUGAGCCAAUCAUGCUACAAAAUCUGCAAUCUGUGUAUAAUAGAAUUAAAAAAAAAAAAAAACUGCUUGCGGUUGGAUUUUUUUUUUUCAAAUGAGUACAUUGGUAAUGGUGUCCGUAGGAAUGGUAAAAUCCGCAUUUAUAUUUUUAUAUUCGGAUCUGCAUCCGUAUCCGCAAAAAAAAUAUACGGAUCCGGAUGCGGAUAAUAUUCGUAACGGAUACGGGUGAAUAUUCUAAAUAUUCGGAUCUGCAAAAUUAAGAUUCAAUAAUUUAAAACGUAAUUUAGAAAUUCAAUAAUUUAAAAAUUAAAGUAAUUAAAUCAAAAACCUAAUUAAUAAUUAAAGCAAAUAUAAAAUUAAACUAAUUUGUAAAGGUCCAGCCAUGAUUUUUCACUAAAUUUAUGCUUUUACAUAUUAAUUUACUAAAACUAUGAAUAUUGAUUGUUGGAAAGUAAUUGGCGUGGGCUUGGCAGUUGGCUCACCUUUUGUAUUUCUAUUUUCGGGCGUUUAUGAGUGGUGGGAAGCAAGGGUUGAUUUCGGCCAUUUGUGAGUGGUGGGGAGUAGCCGAGCAGGGGCUGAUUUUAGUUGCUUGUGGCUGUACCCACUACUACAAAAAUUCAAAAUAAUGACCCAUAAAUUAUUACGGUUUUUAAAAAUAACUGUCAUUAAAAUUUUUUUAUAACCGUUAUUAUGUAAACCAUCAUAAUAUUUAAUACUUACAAUAACGAUUUUAUAAAAAAAUCGUCAUUAAAUAUAAAUUUAAAAUAUAAUAUUAUUUUUAAUGACGGUUCGUUAUAAAAACCGUCAUUAAAAAUAUUAAUACGAUAAUGACGGUUUAUUAUAAAAAUCAUCAUUAAAAAUAUAUAAUUAUAAUGACAGUUUAAUUAAAAAACAAUCAUUAAAUAUAUAAUUAUAAUAUAAUGUUAAGUUUAAUGACGGUUUAUUAUAAAACCGUCAUUAAAAAUACAAUAAUGCUACACAUCCUAAAUUUUUUAUCCCAAAAAGUUAUUCCAAAUGAUGUGUCAUUAAUUGAGUGGUUGAUAAUUCUUUACAAGAUCCAAGUGAAUUAAUUGUAUUAUCUCACCAACCAAUUGGUAAAUGACACAUCAUUUGAAAUAACUUUUUGAGAUAAAAAAUUUAGGAUGUGUAGCAUUAUUGUUAAAAAUACAUACUUACAAUGAUGGUUUUUAAACUUAACUGUCAUUGUAUCUCUACUAAAAUAUAACCUUAGUAUUAAUGACCGUUAUUUUAGGAACCGUGGUUAAAGAGGAAAUUACUAAUCUUCAUUCAUGACCAUUUAUUUUAUAAACGGUCAUGAAUAAUACAAAUAAAAAAACAAAGCCGAUUUCUAGACUUGGCAUUUUAUUUCAUCACUUCAAAAUAUCUCUCCCAAAUACCCAAAUUCCUUCCAUCACACGCUCAUUUCUCUCCAGAAUAGCCAAGAUUGAUUGUUGCCCACUUCGUAACCAUCACAACCUUGGGAUUAUUGUGCCGUCUCAGUAGCCACCGAGUUGAAUCCCAUUGUUAAUGCUCCAAUGCAUCCUCAGUUCACUGCCUAGGUCAGCUCUAUUUGACGUUUUGAUUUAUUUGUAAUCAAAUUGACACAUUAUCAGCUCCUCUAUUGAAAGCCCUCUACUUUCCACAUACAUUACUGGAAAGGAAUUUGAAAUUUCUUAUUUAUGAGCCAAAUCAUUCUCGCUCUCUAUCUCUCUCUAUAUUUUCAUUUUAUUACUUAUAAAUCUCAUUAAUUUGAUUGGGUAGGUUUCAUGGUUUUGUAACCUAGCAUUGGAUGACUCUAAACAUGGCUACUUCUCUCAGAGAUUAUUGGUGUGCUUGAUAUUAGUAUUGAGUUCAAUCAUCUGCAAGGUUUGUUUCAGUUCUAAUAGUUUGUUUUAAAAUUUUUCGUUGCCAUGUAAUUCUAUGGUGUGGAUUUUAUGAAAUUCAUGUUUAAUUCAGCAAACUCUGUUUCCUUUAAGUAUUUAGUUCUAUGACUGGCAAUAAUAGGUAGAAAAACCUUGAAAGGGCCAUAACAUUUUUCUUUUUUGUUGUUUUUUUAACUUUGUUUUGAUGUAAUAAAAGUAUUCCUUCCUCCCAAACUCAAUUGAGAGGAUUUAAUUGUUCUUUUCUUAUAUUGAAGUGUUUAGAAGCUCUGAUUGCCACUGAUUUAUAAAGAAAACAGCAAUUGUAAAAUUAUUCUGCCGUUAUAUGCUGUUAAAAACAGCACAUGGAACUUCCAAGCACUGAUUUUAGCAACUGGACAACAUCCAUAAAAUUUUCUCGGCGUGUCAUGCUGCUAUUUGUUGUAAAAAAACAGCAUUGAAAAGUUUCAGAUGCUAUUUUAACACAAUUACAGCAGCAUGACAACACCCAAAAAAUUUUCUAGGAGCUGUCUUGCUGCUAUUUGCUGUUAAAAACAGCACCUGAGAGUUCCAAAUGCUGUUUUUAUCAGCUGGACAGCACUAAAAAAAUUUUUAGGUGCUGUCAUGCUGCUGUUUAAGGCUAAAAACAACACCCUAAAGUUGCAGGUGCUGUUUUUAACACAAUUUUAGCAGCUACGUAGCACUUAUAAAAAAUUCUAGGUGCUGUAAUGUGCUGUUUGCUGUUAAAAACAGCACCUAAAAUUUUUUUGGGUGCUGUCAUGCUGCUGUUCAAGGCUAAAAACAACACCCAAAAGUUGCAGGUGUUGCUUUUAACCCAAUUUUAGCAGCUAUUUUCUAAGUGUUGUCAUGAUGUUGUUUGCUGUUAAAAACAGCACUUGAAAAUUUCAGUUGCUGUUUUUAUCAGCUAGACGGCACCCAAAAAUUGUUUGGGUGCUGUCGUACUCCUGUUUGAUUAGAAAAACAGCAUCCAAAGUUUUCAGGUGCUGUUUUAACAUAAUUUCAGUAGUUAGACAGCACUCGAAAAAAUUUUUAGGUGCAUUCAAGCUGUUGUUUACUGUAAAAACUGCAAUGAAACUUUCAGUUGUUGGGUUUAUUAGUUAGAUAGCACCUAAACUACUUUAGGAUGCUGUCAUGCUGCUGUUUGAUGUUAAAAGUAGCACCCGAAAGUUGUUAAUGAAAUAGUGACGAUAAUGAUCAUAAUUGAGGAAAAGAAGAACAAGCAUGAACAUUUUGCACCACUGUAUUAUGGAUAUAAUUCCUUCGAAGUAAAAGGCUCUAUAUAUGGAAUAUUAAUAUUGAAUUGGAGUUAGUUAUAUACAACGUCUUACAUGGUAUGCCAUUAUUAUUAAAUUAUGUAAAUCAGUUCCUUUGUCCUUCAUGCCAUGGCUAAAUACAUUUUCAUGCUUGUUGUGGACCUCUUUGGUUAAUGUAGUGAGACCUUGCUUGAUCUUGAGCCAUUUAAUGGGAUGUUGCACUUGAGUGAGAACGGAAAACCUUGUGGGCAGUUUGAUGCAACUAUUAUUUCUCGUAAUGGUGAUACAGUGCUGCUACUACCUUUGCUUCCUCUCUCAGCAGAAGUUUAUAGUCUUAAAAUUUUGCAUUAAGAAAAUGCAUGUUUUUUAGAUUGCAGUGGCAAAAUGUUAAACGGGCUUCACUAUUGUGGGG